This 541-nucleotide ribosomal RNA is filed under the name uncultured bacterium. RNAcentral describes it as "bacterial SSU rRNA". It matches the Rfam family "Bacterial small subunit ribosomal RNA", at positions 777 to 1319 of the family's 1533-position model. The record is from RNAcentral.
AAUAGAUACCCUGGUAGUCCACGCCGUAAACGAUGAGUACUAGGUGUCGGGGGUUACCCCCUCGGUGCCGCAGCUAACGCAUUAAGUACUCCGCCUGGGAAGUACGCUCGCAAGAGUGGAACUCAAAGGAAUUGACGGGGACCCGCACAAGUAGCGGAGCAUGUGGUUUAAUUCGAAGCAACGCGAAGAACCUUACCUAAGCUUGACAUCCCAUUGACCUCUCCCUAAUCGGAGAUUUCCCUUCGGGGACAGUGGUGACAGGUGGUGCAUGGUUGUCGUCAGCUCGUGUCGUGAGAUGUUGGGUUAAGUCCCGCAACGAGCGCAACCCUUGCCUUUAGUUGCCAGCAUUAAGUUGGGCACUCUAGAGGGACUGCCGAGGAUAACUCGGAGGAAGGUGGGGAUGACGUCAAAUCAUCAUGCCCCUUAUGCUUAGGGCUACACACGUGCUACAAUGGGUGGUACAGAGGGUUGCCAAGCCGCGAGGUGGAGCUAAUCCCUUAAAGCCAUUCUCAGUUCGGAUUGUAGGCUGAAACUCGCCUAC